Nothobranchius furzeri (turquoise killifish) is the source of this 1008-nucleotide long non-coding RNA. RefSeq lists it as uncharacterized. The record is from RefSeq and is a predicted model, not a curated record. NCBI's taxonomy places the organism in Eukaryota, Metazoa, Chordata, Actinopteri, Cyprinodontiformes, Nothobranchiidae.
GGGUUCCUUCCAUGCAUUAGCAUUGAGCUUUGUGUUAUUACACGUGAGGAAGGUGGAAACCGUGAUAUUUGCAUUAAUAUUAAUUGAGACUCACCAUUUCCACAGGUCUUUGAACACUGACUGACAACAGGACUCCACACAAACACACGAGCCUGUCUGGAGCGUGGUGUCAUGUCAGCCCUUUGGAUGGGCAGCUCCUGAUUCCCACCCAAUGGGGCAAACAUCUAUGACACAGAGCACAAGAUCAAGUGGUUUGAUCUGCUUCAAACAAAAAGUUUGAUCCACUUCAACCUCUUGUCCAUCCUCUUGCCGAACACAUGACACAACACGUUUUGCUUCUCCUGGUCCGCACACUGCAGAACAGUUUCCUGGCUCAGACACAGACCACCUGUGAACAAACAAAAUGUAUUUUCAUUUAAAUCUCAGUUUGGUGCAACAGAAUCAUACCACAAAUCCUGUUAAUUAAAGAAAAAGACACUAAUAAUAACCACAAACAUCCACGUCAAACUAUUUAACGAUCAUCAGCUGUACCUGGCAGGACAGUGUUGCAUAUUACACUUUUCAGCAGAGUGUGGAGCAGCGUCAGAGGAACAUUCAGAGUCUUGAACAAUCACCAACUCAGAUCCUUGUUUUUGAACACAUCGGACAAGACGGAGCCUCACUCCCCCUCCACAGGAGGCACUGCAAGCGCCAAAACUUCCUGCAUCCCACCUGUGAAACAAUAAAUUAUUCAUGCAUUCUCAUCUGUGUGUGUGUGUGUGUGUGUGUGUGUGUGUGUGUGUGUGUGUGUGUUUGGGGAAAAAAACAAGACACAACAGAGCUGGGAGUGAAACUAACCUGGGGGGACAUGCUGUUAGGUGACAGAUUGUGUGGAGGGGGGUGUUUGGAGGAGGAUCUUUACAGUGGUGCUGCUGCAAAUGUAUUUUAUUUCCUUUGUCAACACAGACAUGCACAUUCUUCUGCACACCUGUAAAACAAGAAGUUGAAAUAAAAUGUCUCUGAAGUCAA